This 598-nucleotide long non-coding RNA is filed under the name Microcebus murinus (gray mouse lemur). RNAcentral describes it as "lncRNA (ENSMICG00000048381.1)". Lineage: Eukaryota; Metazoa; Chordata; Mammalia; Primates; Cheirogaleidae. The record is from RNAcentral.
CCCUUCUAUCCUGCACAAGUUACCACUGCGGUAAGGACAGCGUGAGUAGUUCCUCUUUUGAAGUCUGAGUGCUCCCGGAGCCGUGGAAGCAACAGUCAGCGUUCAUAUCCCUCCCUCGACUGCGGGCAGCCCACGAGGAGCCGUGUGUUUUAUUUUUUCCUCCAAGACACACCAGCGUGGUUGCAACUGCAAAGAAUGAUUGGACUUCAGGAGCCAGAAAAGAAGGACCAGAGGUGGGCAAAUGACCACUGCCUUUUGGCACCCCCGGCUCAUCCCCACGAUCCAGCAACUCAAGAGUUAACACAAGCUCCAGCAGGAUCCGCCAAGACUGGCUGAUGUCCAUUGGAACGAUUGAAGGACUGAACGUGAUGAAGAUCAAACCCAAUUCCAGGCAAGCAAAAGGGUUUCACUUCCUAGGGAGAAAUGUGCAGCCCAUUUGCCCACCAGCCCCUCAGAUAGGCCAGGAGUUUUGCCCACGACCAGCAGGCGAUCAUACUGAGGGGAGUUCCGAGAAAGCAUCAGAACCCGUCCGCUACUAAGGUGAGCAUGGGGGAAGAGCCCAGGCUCUGGGCUAAAAUAGAGGCCAAAAUAAAACAGC